RNAcentral lists this ribosomal RNA (1085 nucleotides) under uncultured bacterium. RNAcentral's name for it is "bacterial SSU rRNA". It matches the Rfam family "Bacterial small subunit ribosomal RNA", at positions 102 to 1194 of the family's 1533-position model. The record is from RNAcentral.
ACGGGUGAGUAAUGCUUAUCUUACUUGCCAAUUAGUGGGGGAUAACCCUGGGAAACCAGGGCUAAUACCGCAUUUGUUGCUUCGGCAAUGAAAGGGAAUCGCAAGAUUCUCGCUAAUUGAGAGGGAUAAGCCGUAUUAGUUAGUUGGUGGGGUAAUAGCCUACCAAGACAGUGAUGCGUAGCCAGGCUGAGAGGCUGAGUGGCCACAAGGGAACUGAGACACGGUCCCUACUCCUACGGGAGGCAGCAGUGAGGAAUUUUCCACAAUGGGGGCAACCCUGAUGGAGCAAUACUACGUGAAGGAGGAAGGUCUACGGAUUGUAAACUUCUGUUAGUGCGGAAGAAGGGCUAAGCGCAAGUUUAGCCUUGACGGUACGCACAGAGAAAGCCACGACUAACUACGUGCCAGCAGUCGCGGUAAGACGUAGGUCGCGAACGUUAUCCGGAAUUAUUGGGCGUAAAGGGUGCGUAGAUGGUAUAAUAAGUUAUCAGCGGUAAAUCGGGGCUCAACCUCGUGGAAGUCGGUAAUACUGUUAUACUUGAGUGCAGGAGAGGUUAACGGAACUCCAUGUGGAGCGGUAAAAUGCGUAGAUAUAUGGAAGAACAUCAAUAACGGCGAAGGCAGUUAACUAUUCUGUUACUGACAUUGAGGCACGAAAGCGUGGGGAGCAAAACGGAUUAGAUACCCGUGUAGUCCACGCCCUAAACGAUGAGUACUAGAUAUUGGGAACUUGAUUCUCAGUGUCGCUAGUUAACACGGUAAGCACUCCGCCUGGGUAGUACGGUCGCAAGGCUGAAACUCAAAGGAAUUGACGGGGACUCGCACAAGCAGUGGAGCAUGUGGUUUAAUCCGAUACAACGCGUAGAACCUUACCAAGGCUUGACAUGUUCGGCAAAGUUAUUGAAAGGUAAUGGAGGUUAUCCGGACACAGGUGCUGCAUGGCCGUCGUCAGUUCGUGCCGUGAGGUGUAUGGUUAAGUCCUAUAACGAACGCAACCCUUGGGCUUAGUUACCAGCAUUCAGUUGGGGACUCUAAGCCGACUGCCUGAGUAAUCAGGAGGAAGGAAAGGAUGACGUCUGGUCGUC